RNAcentral lists this ribosomal RNA (495 nucleotides) under uncultured bacterium. RNAcentral's name for it is "partial 16S ribosomal RNA". It matches the Rfam family "Bacterial small subunit ribosomal RNA", at positions 28 to 507 of the family's 1533-position model. The record is from RNAcentral.
GACGAACGCUGGCGGCGUGCCUAAUACAUGCAAGUAGAACGCUGAAGGAGGAGCUUGCUCUUCUGGAUGAGUUGCGAACGGGUGAGUAACGCGUAGGUAACCUGCCUGGUAGCGGGGGAUAACUAUUGGAAACGAUAGCUAAUACCGCAUAAGAGUAGAUGUUGCAUGACAUUUGCUUAAAAGGUGCAAUUGCAUCACUACCAGAUGGACCUGCGUUGUAUUAGCUAGUUGGUGGGGUAACGGCUCACCAAGGCGACGAUACAUAGCCGACCUGAGAGGGUGGUCGGCCACACUGGGACUGAGACACGGCCCAAACUCCUACGGGAGGCAGCAGUAGGGAAUCUUCGGCAAUGGACGGAAGUCUGACCGAGCAACGCCGCGUGAGUGAAGAAGGUUUUCGGAUCGUAAAGCUCUGUUGUAAGAGAAGAACGAGUGUGAGAGUGGAAAGUUCACACUGUGACGGUAUCUUACCAGAAAGGGACGGCUAACUACGUG